GGGAUUGGGUUGGGGUUCCGCGACUGGCCUUUCUCUUGUUGUUGUAGAGUGCCUGCAGUUUUCUUUCUUUCUUCCACAUAGGCCUCGCUUGCAUGCCUUGUGGACCGAAAAUUUUGUAUAUAAAGAAAAGUUCUGUCUUUCCUCAAAAAGAAGAGUCACGCGGUCCUUAAAGAAAGAGGCUUCAGUCAUCGGUUCGAAUCCGAAUAAGGGCUUUUUUCUUUUCGGUAUGCCGCUCCGCUAACUAAGGAGCGAUAGAAGGAAGUGGGCUGUGGUGAUGUUAGAA
RNAcentral lists this unclassified non-coding RNA (283 nucleotides) under Hevea brasiliensis (rubber tree). Lineage: Eukaryota; Viridiplantae; Streptophyta; Magnoliopsida; Malpighiales; Euphorbiaceae. The record is from RNAcentral.